RNAcentral lists this ribosomal RNA (290 nucleotides) under Shewanella sp. UCD-FRSSP16_17. RNAcentral describes it as "partial 16S ribosomal RNA". It matches the Rfam family "Bacterial small subunit ribosomal RNA", at positions 1 to 286 of the family's 1533-position model. The record is from RNAcentral. Lineage: Bacteria; Pseudomonadati; Pseudomonadota; Gammaproteobacteria; Alteromonadales; Shewanellaceae.
UUAAUUGAAGAGUUUGAUCAUGGCUCAGAUUGAACGCUGGCGGCAGGCCUAACACAUGCAAGUCGAGCGGUAACAGAAAGUAGCUUGCUACUUUGCUGACGAGCGGCGGACGGGUGAGUAAUGCCUAGGGAUCUGCCCAGUCGAGGGGGAUAACAGUUGGAAACGACUGCUAAUACCGCAUACGCCCUACGGGGGAAAGGAGGGGACCUUCGGGCCUUUCGCGAUUGGAUGAACCUAGGUGGGAUUAGCUAGUUGGUAAGGUAAUGGCUUACCAAGGCGACGAUCCCUAG